CCCCAAAAAAAACGAGUUUUUCACCGGCGCACUAAUAUUUAACAUUUCAAAUUUUUUGUUUUUUUUUUUUCGAUUUUAUUAUAAAUGUACAGUUAUAACAAUAAUUUAACCGUGACAUAUUAUUAAUGUAGAAUUUUUUUUUUUUUUUUUCAAACGUCUGCACGGGGUUGCGCGAGGGCAAGUAGAAAGCGGUCCGUUUUAUACUACGUCGCGGUAUAUUAUAUUUUAUUCGCGACGCGUUUGGCAACGUUACAGAGUCGAAAUAAUAAUUAUUGUAAAUAAAUUUUUUUUUUUCAUUGUUUAUCGCGUACGAUAAAUAUCGUAUACAGGAAUUUUUUUUUUUUUUUUUUUUGGCUCGAAAAUUUGUAUUAUUUAUUGCGUAUACGCGCGCGUAUGUGUGUGUGUGUGUGUGCGAGGCCCCCCCCCCGCAAGAGUUAUAUAGACAACAAUAUACGCGCGACGAGUUUCGCGAUAAAUCGACAUUACGAGUUUGUUUUUUUUUUUUUUUUUCCGAUUCAUUUCGCGAUAUAUUUCGACACGCGUACAUUACAAUAUUAUUACCGUUUUACACCUACCCGAUACGCGGUAUACUGUACGGGCGAACGCGACGUUUCGAAACGUAUUUUUCAAUAUUACCGGCUGUACGGUUUACGAUACACGGUUCGCAAUAUUUCGUUAAUAAUCACGCAAUUAUAUUCGUAAUGCGAUUGGAUUAUUCGUUGUUUCUUCUAAAAAAAAAAAAAAAAUAAUAAUAAUAAUAAAAAAACAGUAGUGAAACGCACAGCUUCUUCGCUACACUCGGAUACUAAAACACAAAAUUCGUAUCGGGAAAGGGGUGGGGCUACAUCACGAAAACUACCCGACAAAUUAUCAAUCGCCAUCUCCCCCGGAGCAAUGUCGUAAAUACGCCGCCGCUCUGCAGUAUAUUAUAUUACUCAUUUUGGAUAAUUUCACGAUAAAACACUAUUGACCAAGUGUUUUUAAUUUCAAACGGUUUUGUUUGGAAUCGACGAGCCAUUUGUGUG
Molecule: non-coding RNA, 1025 nt
Organism: Cinara cedri
Lineage: Eukaryota; Metazoa; Arthropoda; Insecta; Hemiptera; Aphididae
Source: the annotation of a GenBank genome assembly